GGCCAUCAACCAGAAUACAAAAGAAAGCUUGAGAAAUCUCAGAACUAUAUAAGCACACAGAGAACACAAAAAGAACAGAAACUUAAGCCUAAAGAAUCUGGAAAUGUAGGGUGAAUAAUUGUACAUUCAGUAUGCCGUAUUAGACUGAAUUGAAUAUUACCACAAUGGACAAGAUUUUAUCUUCUGAUUCUUCUUAGUACUUCGCAGUGCCGUCUAAUUCAACUUACGGAAUAGGGAGAUUGUUUAUGGGCACUGGAAACCAGUUGGAACCUUAUUUCCACAGUAGUUAAGCAACAAACUGAGGGAAACUGGGACAUUUAGGUUAAUGCCCAAAACAUUUGCUUUAAUGGCAGUGCAAAGGCAAACAGCAGCCUCAAGGUCAGCAAGCCCUUUAAUGAGUGUGCAGCAGGGAGUUUUUGGUGGGGUACCCACAACCAGGUGCACCAAAUCAUUAAGCAAAUCUGCGCAGACUCCCAGUUUUAGAGUGUCUUUAGGGCACUUGCCCUUCGAUGGGUGGUGCUUCUGACCGUGGCCGUGGCUGGGGGUGGGGGUGGUGGGUGUCGUUGGUGUUGGUGUUGGUGUUGGUGUUGUUGGUGGUGUUGGAGGGCAUGGGACAGAAUUGGAAGUGACUAAUGUGAAGAAGAGUAGGUUGAGAAGAAGGAGAAGGGUAGCUUUGGAAGCCAUUGAUUUUGAAGAUACUUGAAAACUUGUUUUGUUAAUGCAAGAGAGUUUAUAUUUUCGGCUGGGGUUGUGG
RNAcentral lists this long non-coding RNA (754 nucleotides) under Olea europaea (common olive). Its description in RNAcentral is "long non-coding RNA (OEUR_LNC014270)". The record is from RNAcentral. Lineage: Eukaryota; Viridiplantae; Streptophyta; Magnoliopsida; Lamiales; Oleaceae.